RNAcentral lists this unclassified non-coding RNA (253 nucleotides) under uncultured Flavobacteriaceae bacterium. Its description in RNAcentral is "contains 16S-23S intergenic spacer region". It matches the Rfam family "Bacterial small subunit ribosomal RNA", at positions 524 to 776 of the family's 1533-position model. The record is from RNAcentral. Lineage: Bacteria; Pseudomonadati; Bacteroidota; Flavobacteriia; Flavobacteriales; Flavobacteriaceae.
UACGGAGGGUGCGAGCGUUAUCCGGAAUCAUUGGGUUUAAAGGGUCCGUAGGCGGGAUAAUAAGUCAGUGGUGAAAGUCUGCAGCUCAACUGUAGAAUUGCCAUUGAUACUGUUGUCCUUGAGUCAUUAUGAAGUGGUUAGAAUAUGUAGUGUAGCGGUGAAAUGCAAAGAUAUUACAUAGAAUACCGAUUGCGAAGGCAGAUCACUAAUAAUAUACUGACGCUGAUGGACGAAAGCGUAGGUAGCGAACAGG